This 25-nucleotide unclassified non-coding RNA is filed under the name Mus musculus (house mouse). RNAcentral describes it as "oocyte_clustered_small_RNA6219". The record is from RNAcentral. Lineage: Eukaryota; Metazoa; Chordata; Mammalia; Rodentia; Muridae.
CAGAACGAUCCAGAUCCUUGUGCUA